This 468-nucleotide ribosomal RNA is filed under the name uncultured bacterium. Its description in RNAcentral is "partial 16S ribosomal RNA". It matches the Rfam family "Bacterial small subunit ribosomal RNA", at positions 28 to 507 of the family's 1533-position model. The record is from RNAcentral.
GACGAACGCUGGCGGCGUGCUUAACACAUGCAAGUCGAACGGAAAGGCCCUGCUUUUGUGGGGUGCUCGAGUGGCGAACGGGUGAGUAACACGUGAGUAACCUGCCCUUGACUUUGGGAUAACUUCAGGAAACUGGGGCUAAUACCGGAUAGGAGCUCCUGCUGCAUGGUGGGGGUUUGAAAGUUUCGGCGGUUGGGGAUGGACUCGCGGCUUAUCAGCUUGUUGGUGGGGUAGUGGCUUACCAAGGCUUUGACGGGUAGCCGGCCUGAGAGGGUGACCGGCCACAGUGGGAAUGAGAUACGGCCCAGACUCCUACGGGAGGCAGCAGUGGGGAAUAUUGCACAAUGGGCGGAAGCCUGAUGCAGCAACGCCGCGUGCGGGAUGACGGCCUUCGGGUUGUAAACCGCUUUCGCCUGUGACGAAGCGUGAGUGACGGUAAUGGGUAAAGAAGCACCGGCUAACUACGUG